GGGAGGCAGCAGUGGGGAAUUUUGGACAAUGGGGGAAACCCUGAUCCAGCCAUCCCGCGUGUGCGAUGAAGGCCUUCGGGUUGUAAAGCACUUUUGGCAGGAAAGAAACGUCAUGGGUUAAUACCCCGUGAAACUGACGGUACCUGCAGAAUAAGCACCGGCUAACUACGUGCCAGCAGCCGCGGUCAUACGUAGGGUGCAAGCGUUAAUCGGAAUUACUGGGCGUAAAGCGUGCGCAGGCGGUUCGGAAAGAAAGAUGUGAAAUCCCAGAGCUUAACUUUGGAACUGCAUUUUUAACUACCGGGCUAGAGUGUGUCAGAGGGAGGUGGAAUUCCGCGUGUAGCAGUGAAAUGCGUAGAUAUGCGGAGGAACACCGGUGGCGAAGGCAGCCUCCUGGGAUAACACUGACGCUCAUGCACGAAAGCGUGGGGAGCAAACAGGAUUAGAUACCCUGGUAGUCCACGCCCUAAACGAUGUCAACUAGCUGUUGGGGCCUUCGGGCCUUGGUAGCGCAGCUAACGCGUGAAGUUGACCGCCUGGGGAGUACGGUCGCAAGAUUAAAACUCAAAUGAAUUGACGG
This 580-nucleotide ribosomal RNA is filed under the name uncultured beta proteobacterium. RNAcentral's name for it is "bacterial SSU rRNA". It matches the Rfam family "Bacterial small subunit ribosomal RNA", at positions 343 to 916 of the family's 1533-position model. Lineage: Bacteria; Pseudomonadati; Pseudomonadota; Betaproteobacteria. The record is from RNAcentral.